Molecule: long non-coding RNA, 128 nt
Organism: Haliotis rubra (blacklip abalone)
Lineage: Eukaryota; Metazoa; Mollusca; Gastropoda; Lepetellida; Haliotidae
Exons: 4
Source: RefSeq, a predicted model, not a curated record
AUGGCGAGCACAUACCCGUGGUAUGGGGCCACUACAGACAGAGGCUGGGGCUCCCGAUGGCCUUACGCAAGCACCGAAGGAACCACACCGGACUGGCGAUAUCAGACGUCAUCUGGCAGCAGUUACGG